Molecule: unclassified non-coding RNA, 531 nt
Filed under: Centaurea tchihatcheffii
Lineage: Eukaryota; Viridiplantae; Streptophyta; Magnoliopsida; Asterales; Asteraceae
Description: partial external transcribed spacer
Source: RNAcentral
UUUCGUAUCGUUCGGUGCAUUCUGGGGGCUGUUUCGGCUUUUAGUGGCUUGCUUGGCCUUUUUGGUUGGGUGGGUUGCUACAAGUUGGACUUUCUUCGGGGAUGAUUACCGGGGAGGUGCAUGAGUUGUGUUUGGUUUGUUACGUGUGGAUGGCUGUGGUGCUUGCGCAACAACGUCCAUGCUGCACACCUCUUCAGUUUUGCGGCAAGACUCGGUAUGUCUUGAGCGUAUUGUGGGUUUCCUGUGUUGCAUACCUAGUCGACGGUAAAGUGUGGGUUUUAUGAUUUUCCUUUUCAUCAUGCGUCGUUCAUGCGGCGUGGGAUGAACAACGAAUCGGUCUUUGUGAUCCACUGUGUUGUUGCUUUUGCUACAACACUGUGGCCUAUGAUGCAUCGUUGGUUUCUUGUAUACGGAACUUGAUGUGGGCAUGGGUCUUUAUAGAUCUUCAUUUUGCCCUUGUUAAGCUUCUCGCUUCUCUAAAACGAUUGUCUGCCAUGUCUUGGCUUGUCCUUGCAUGGUGGGCUACGUCGA